UUAGUUGCCAUCGGGUCACGCCGGGAACUCUAAGGGGACCGCCCCGGACAACGGGGAGGAAGGUGGGGAUGACGUCAAGUCAGCAUGGCCUUUAUGUCCAGGGCUACACACGUGCUACAAUGGUUGGUACAAAGGGUUGCCAAGCCGUGAGGCGGAGCCAAGUCUCAAAAAGCCAACCUCAGUUCGGAUUGCAGUCUGCAACUCGACUGCAUGAAGUUGGAAUCGCUAGUAAUCGCUGAUCAGCAGGCAGCGGUGAAUACGUUCCCGGGCCUU
This 273-nucleotide ribosomal RNA is filed under the name uncultured Holophagae bacterium. RNAcentral's name for it is "partial 16S ribosomal RNA". It matches the Rfam family "Bacterial small subunit ribosomal RNA", at positions 1111 to 1382 of the family's 1533-position model. Lineage: Bacteria; Pseudomonadati; Acidobacteriota; Holophagae. The record is from RNAcentral.